Molecule: long non-coding RNA, 2787 nt
Organism: Pecten maximus
Lineage: Eukaryota; Metazoa; Mollusca; Bivalvia; Pectinida; Pectinidae
Exons: 2
Source: RefSeq, a predicted model, not a curated record
UAUGUAUGCAUGUAUAGAAGACCAGUAUGCAGUAUUUUACCUGUAAUAUGCCCAACAUGUACUUUAAUUUGAAUUUUCGAAUGCAGUGGAACCACGAGAAAUCUUCGAGUUAUCCGAGUUAUCCGGACAGAAAGACAAAAGUGGGUAUAUUUUAAGACACUGACCAUGAAGUAUAUUUAUCCUUCAGUGCUUAGCAAACAUGGUAGAAUUGACGUUUUAUCCGAUUUAAUAGACAGCACUGACCGGCGACUGUUUCAUUUCUAAACGUAGAUAAGUUCCGCUUGAGCGAGCGGGUAGAUGAAUUGUUGACUAUCGUGUGUACUGUUAUCGGCGACCGCCUUAAAUCUCUAUAAAAACCGCCCAAGGGGGAGGCAGACAAAUCGUCACUAUAGAACGGUUGCUUAAGUUAUAGUAAUUGAAUGACUAGACGAGUGUAUUGCGAGAUAUUUCGGUGGGCGGGAACGAGUAACGCCCACCGAAAUAUCGAGUGUACACGAGUCUAGGACAUUCAAUAAAAUGGCUUGUAUCAUUGCCCGUCCAUCGGCUGUCAUUAAACUUCUAAAAACCAAUCAGAAUUGUCUCGGGUUUCUGAUUGAAUUCCCGCCAAAAACAAUCAACGAUCAAUUAGGAGUACAUUUCCCGCCAAAAACGUUAUCAGUUACAUGUAGUUCAAUGCGCACCCGACUUUGUAAGCGGUAAGCAGCAGGAUGUCAACCCCUUCAGCUAGCUUAAUGGUCAGUUUAAAGUACAGGGAUUUCCUUUCAUUACAAGGGGAUGAUUUUGACGACAUUGUGUUAUCUUAAGCAUUCAAGGAUAUAGAAAACGAAGUGAAAGUUUUUGAUGGGAUUUCCGACAUGUCGCUGACACCUAACGGGAAGGGGAUGCAAAACAUAUUUAGGAAUACACCACAUUACCAGCAAGAACAGACAUUAUUACAACCAAGAAGGUGACCGAUGUAUUCCGGAGUACUUCGAUAUGUACAAUGAUGUUUAUACAGGAGACUUCUCGGAGGAACCCCCAUUUGUUAUGGAAGACAGGUCGUCGGUGUAAACAAACCAAAACAACAUGUGAAAGUGAAAGGAAAUUACACACAAUUUACACUAUUGUACAAAUGCGGCGAACUGGACAACUGUUACACGUUAUGUUAAAUUUGUAAACAGGGAAUCGUAUACAUAAUAUUUGUAACCAAACAUGUUUUUUUCAAGUUUUAAUAACACCUAUGUACUACAGACCCUAUUCGGCAUUGAUACAAAAACAUCCAGAUCGCUGUAAACACUUGCGCUUGACCAGAAAAAAAUCAAACGUUACAAUGUUUAUUUUACUCACCUGUAUGUAAUUGGGUCUUAAAACGACCAACAGCCACAUAAUUAUUUUAAUACAAUGAUUAAUAAAACAAAACUGUACGGUUAUUACAAUGUUCAAGCCCAGAUAGGCCUAGAUAAUCUGAUCACUUGUGUAUUAAUCCGUCACAGCGCCACCUAGGAAGGGCGAUCACACGUAACGGUAAAACCAAAAUCCGGCACGAACAAUGAAGGACUGGAUGUUUAUUUUACCUUCCGGUCAGUGCAAAGUUUUCUAAGAGAUUAAUAGCCAUUCUUCUCACCUGUGGAUACACUGGUCAGUAAACAAAAGAUCGAUAAUUACGUAUACACACGCAAAUGGCCAGUUUGACACGAAUUACCGUAAGCUGUUCACGGCUCGGUGCACCAGGUAAAUUUUUAGACACGACCAACUGGUCAUAAUUGUGGGGGUAAUUAACGUGAAUUAGUGGUCGUUGAGACUGGACAAGGUGGUCGUAAUAGUGAAGCGACCAAUACAAUGAUAUAGAGAGAAAAAAUCGGGACUGAAAAAAAAGUGCCCGUAAUAGCGGGGUGGUCGUAAGGUGAGGUUUCACUGUAUAAUAUAUAGAGGACACGGCCUUCAGCUUUAAUUUUCUGUGAUCGGAUUGACAUGAGGACACUGAAGUUUAAUAAUUACAUUAAAUAGAACUAACAUUGACUUUUUGCAUAGACAAAUUGGAAAUGAUUGUAUGCCUUGAAGUUUUUGUUUCAUUAAAGUUGAAAAUUACGGAAAUAAACUAAUGGUUCUGUGAGUUUUUGACUGUAUACGUUGCUGUAUACCUUCGGUAGCCAAUAACAUCCAAAUUUGGGGAGUUAGUGUACACUUUGAUGUACAACAACUUCCUAGUAUGUGAAGUUAUUGGACAACUAAGCUCCGCCUCUUAACUGGGUAUUGGGAUUUAUUGUACACGCAACUUCACAGGAAAAAUGAUACACACUUACUGUUCAUAACACUGAUAAUACUGAUUGAUACUUUUUGUGUUGACAAUCAGGGUAAUUUCAUGCAAGGCCAGUAUCGUUGCUUUAUUAUAACAAAAUUAUUAACGCAAAUCCAUAUAAAAAGAUAUUUAAACUUUAAUUUAAACCUUUAGUUAUAGGCUGUAAUAAUUUGAAUAACGAUUUAAUUAAACAUUGAAAUAACUUCCCUAUAAUGAAAUCUGCAUAAAUGGUUAUAUCUGCAUUGCUAACUUCACUUUGAAAUAUCUUUUUUUUUCAAAUUUUUGCUAAGAAAAACAUAAUUAAAAACUUAUGAAAUCAAUGCUGUAAAUAGACCCCUGUGGAGAACCUAUUUAAUUGAAAUGCAGAGGGACCUCACCAGGUGUUCCGAUUGACACACCUGAUGACCAAUUUUCACGUAUGCCUCCGGGUAUAGAAGAAGUGGUGGUAGGCCGAUCUUCACGACUCGGUGCACAAAUAUAAUAAAGUGGAGUCUCUAAUCCAACUUGUA